RNAcentral lists this ribosomal RNA (536 nucleotides) under Candida tropicalis. RNAcentral describes it as "eukaryotic LSU rRNA". It matches the Rfam family "Eukaryotic large subunit ribosomal RNA", at positions 104 to 656 of the family's 3401-position model. The record is from RNAcentral. Lineage: Eukaryota; Fungi; Ascomycota; Pichiomycetes; Serinales; Debaryomycetaceae.
AAAGCUCAAAUUUGAAAUCUGGCUCUUUCAGAGUCCGAGUUGUAAUUUGAAGAAGGUAUCUUUGGGUCUGGCUCUUGUCUAUGUUUCUUGGAACAGAACGUCACAGAGGGUGAGAAUCCCGUGCGAUGAGAUGAUCCAGGCCUAUGUAAAGUUCCUUCGAAGAGUCGAGUUGUUUGGGAAUGCAGCUCUAAGUGGGUGGUAAAUUCCAUCUAAAGCUAAAUAUUGGCGAGAGACCGAUAGCGAACAAGUACAGUGAUGGAAAGAUGAAAAGAACUUUGAAAAGAGAGUGAAAAAGUACGUGAAAUUGUUGAAAGGGAAGGGCUUGAGAUCAGACUUGGUAUUUUGUAUGUUACUUCUUCGGGGGUGGCCUCUACAGUUUAUCGGGCCAGCAUCAGUUUGGGCGGUAGGAGAAUUGCGUUGGAAUGUGGCACGGCUUCGGUUGUGUGUUAUAGCCUUCGUCGAUACUGCCAGCCUAGACUGAGGACUGCGGUUUAUACCUAGGAUGUUGGCAUAAUGAUCUUAAGUCGCCCGUCUUG